This 74-nucleotide transfer RNA is filed under the name Cryobacterium sp. Hh7. RNAcentral describes it as "tRNA-Trp". It matches the Rfam family "tRNA". From Rfam's summary of the family: Transfer RNA (tRNA) molecules are approximately 80 nucleotides in length. The record is from RNAcentral. Lineage: Bacteria; Bacillati; Actinomycetota; Actinomycetes; Micrococcales; Microbacteriaceae.
UGGGAGUAAGUGUUACGGAAGCACGCCGGUCUCCAAAACCGGAAGCGCAGGUUCGACACCUGCACACUCAGCAA